UGGGGAAUAUUGCGCAAUGGGGGGAACCCUGACGCAGCCAUGCCGCGUGAAUGAAGAAGGCCUUCGGGUUGUAAAGUUCUUUCGGUAUUGAGGAAGGUUGAUGUGUUAAUAGCACAUCAAAUUGACGUUAAAUACAGAAGAAGCACCGGCUAACUCCGUGCCAGCAGCCGCGGUAAUACGGAGGGUGCGAGCGUUAAUCGGAAUAACUGGGCGUAAAGGGCACGCAGGCGGUUAUUUAAGUGAGGUGUGAAAGCCCUGGGCUUAACCUAGGAAUUGCAUUUCAGACUGGGUAACUAGAAUACUUUAGGGAGGGGUAGAAUUCCACGUGUAGCGGUGAAAUGCGUAGAGAUGUGGAGGAAUACCGAAGGCGAAGGCAGCCCCUUGGGAAUGUACUGACGCUCAUGUGCGAAAGCGUGGGGAGCAAACAGGAUUAGAUACCCUGGUAGUCCACGCUGUAAACGCUGUCGAUUUGGGGAUUGGGCUUAGAGCUUGGUGCCCGUAGCUAACGUGAUAAAUCGACCGCCUGGGGAGUACGGCCGCAAGGUUA
This 547-nucleotide ribosomal RNA is filed under the name uncultured bacterium. RNAcentral describes it as "bacterial SSU rRNA". It matches the Rfam family "Bacterial small subunit ribosomal RNA", at positions 355 to 896 of the family's 1533-position model. The record is from RNAcentral.